GCGCGCCCUCCCCGCUUUUCAAUUGGCCACGGCGCCAACUCGGGCGCCCAAUCAGAAGGGGCCGGAGCCAAGCCAACUCGCCGCGGGGAGGGAGAGAGAGAGAGAGAGGGAGGAAUCUGUAUCCGCAGCGGCGGCAGCUCUCUUUAAUGACAGUCUACUUCCAAGGAACUCAAGCCUCAACUGACUUCUAGCUUCUAAGGGGACGCCCAGAUGUUUUGAUGUUUUUACCAUCCUUGUGGGAGGCUUCUCUCAUGUCCCUGCAUGGAGCUGGAGCUGAUAGAGGGAGCUCAUCCACGCUCUCCCCGGGUGGGAUUUGAACCUGGCAGCCUUCAGGUCAGCAACCCAACCUUCAAGUCACAAGGCUUUUAUCCCCUAGGCCAUCGGAGGCUCCACGCUUCUAUCAUUGACUUUAGUACUUUAACAGACUCAAGCCUCAAUUGACUUCUAGCUUCUAACAUUGGCUUUGGUGCUUAAACAGACUCAAGCCUCAACUGAUUUCUAGCUUGUAACAUUGGCUUCGGUGCUUAAACAGACUCAAGCCUCAACUGACUUCUAGCUUCUAACAUUGGCUUUGGUGCUUAAACAGACUCAAGCCUCAACUGACUUCUAGCUUCUAACAUUGGCUUUGGUGCUUAAACAGACUCAAGCCUCAACUGACUUCUAGCUUCUAACAUUGGCUUCGGUACUUAAACAGACUCAAGCCUCAACUGACUUCUAACUGUAAUCCUUUUAAAACUGAACAUUCUAAACAGUCACUGAACCAGCCACAUGGUCUGCGGCCACUCCCACUGCUUUAAGUAUAUAAAGCUAAGAAAACUGCAAACUAAAGAAUAUAUACGUUUAAGGAAAUAAACCGACACAUUACAAAACAGACAAACAUCAAAUAGAGGAGGCUUGAGAAGGUUGCUAUCUCCAACAGCCCUUCUCAACCAAUCAAGCCAACUCUAAUAGUCCCAUCUUCAUACUUUGGUCUUCAAAAGUUUCCUUCUUUGGUUGAAAAUGUCUGUUGUCAUUUCCUGUGUUGCUGUCUCCAACAAUUCCACAGUGUAGAUGUACCCGUAAAAGGACCACAGCCUGUGAAAUUAGUUCAACUCUGGGAGAAGUGAGUUAAUUCUCAAAGUCGUCUUUGGAUACAUCUACACUUGAGAAUUAACGCAGUUUGACACCUGCUAUGUCUCAAUGUGAUGGAAUCAUGGGAGCUGCAGUUUUACAAAGUAUUUCGCCUUCUCUGCCAAGGAGUGCUGGGCACCCCGCCAAACUGCAAAUCCCACAGUUUCCUAGCAUUGAACCAUAACACAUGAAGUUAACUGUGUUCGUUCUACAGUACAGAUGUACCAGGUAUCCUUUCCAACUGCUGAAGUUCUCACCUUGCUCUUUCCCAUACCGGAAGAUAUACAUUGGGAAUGUUCAUUAAUGUCAUCGUGCUGUUCCUAAAUACAGCCUGUCCUUCCUUGGAGUCUGCAUACAGAGAUUCCACCAGCCAUGGCUUGAAAAUAUAUUUUGUGUAUGUAUGUGUUUGGAAACCUUGUAUAAACCUUGUAUAAACCAUAUAAGAGACACCAUCUUCUUGUAAUGGGACCUGAGCAUCCAUGGGUUUUGGGAUUUCUUGGGCCCUUGAUCCAAACCCCAGCUAAUACCAAGGUCCUACUGCAGUCACCAAGGGCUCUUCCAAAGCCCUUUCACACAGCCAUACAACCCAGAAUAUCAAGGCAGAAAAUCCCACAAUAUCUGCUUUGAAUUGAGUUAUUUGAGUCCAUGCUGUCAUCUAUUCCAGUUCAAAGCAGACAAUGUGGGAUUUUAUUCAGCUAUGUGGUUUUCUGCUUUAAACUGGGUUAUAUGAGCCCACACUACCAGAUAAUGUGGGAUGAACAGAAAACCUGGUAUAAGAUCCUGGGAUAUAGGGCCUGUCUGGAAGGGCCCCGAGGCAGCAGUAGAAACUAGCCUUUCAGAUGUUACUGGACUGCAACUCCCACCACCCCUCACCAUUGACUCUCCUGGUUAAGGGAGUUUGGGAGGAUGCAGGAUUCCCACCAUUGCAUGAAGUGACAGGAUUCUGAUAUUAUUUGUUUACUAAUGCAAUUGUACUUAUUCAUUUGAUUAAUUUGUUUGUUAAUUAGGUAUAUGGACAUACUUUCUACACCUAUCUUUGUGGGCUGUUUUAACAUAGAAUCAUGGAAUCAUAGAGUUGGAAAAGACCGCAUGGGCCAUCUAAUUCAACCCCCUGCCAUGCAGGAAAAGCACAAUCAAAGUACCCCUGACUGAUCUCCAUCCAGUCUCUGUUUAAAAGCUCCAAACAUGUUAAAUCAAAGCUUGACAUUGACAAACCAGAGACUGGGUCGAAAUGGGGCAAAGAAAAGAUUGCUGGAGAAAAGUUCUACAAAUGCCAUGGAUUGCUAAAAAGAUGAAUGAAUGGGUUUUAGAGCAAAUCAAGACUGAACUCCAACUAGAAGCAAAGAUGACUAAACUUAGGCUGCUGUACUAUGAGAUGAUAUGACUCACUGGGAAAGAUGAUAGUGCUUGGUAAAGUUGUGGGCAAUAAGAAGAGAAGGAACUUAUGCUCGAGGGUUUUUUUUUUUUUCAAUCUGUAAAGCCACGGUUUACGUUUUGUAAGAUCUUAACUGAGCUAUUACUAACAGGGCAUCUUAGAAGUUGCCCAUUCAUAGGAUCAACAUAAGUCAAAGUUAAUUUGAUGGAAAAAGUAAGAAGGAAAUAUGCAUAGUUGGGUCAUCUUAGUUAUUAUAAUAAUAAUAACUUUAUUUUUAUACCCCGCCUCCAUCUCUGCGCAGCGACUUGGGGCAGCUAACAUGGGGCCAAGUCCAGAUAAUCGCAAUAAAACAGGAUAAAAUACAUACAGAUCAAAACAAGCAUAAUCAACAAGAAAAAUAAAAUACUAUUUUAAACAGUAAUGUAGUGAUUAAAUAAAAACCACAAUAUAAGAGCAAAACAGCGAUUAAAAUAAUAAGAGAACUGGGCAAAAGUGCAAAGAGUGUAUAAUUAAAAACCUAGUGAGGUAGAUAAUAAAGUGCUGCAGUAUUAGUUGUGUAUCAGAGUGCAUGAUCAUGACGUAAGUCCAGUCCUACCUACUUUGGUCUAGUCCGAUGUUGGUUCACAUAAGCUUAGGGCAGUAUAAAGGACUUUAUACUCUGAAUCAGGGCAAGAGACUGAUUCACCAAAGUCAACCAGUUGCUAGCUACAGAAAAUCAAUGAAGUAAUUUCUCUAAUGCAGUGGUUCUCAACCUGUGGAUCCCCAGAUGUUUUGGCCUUCAACUCCCAGAAAUCCUAACACCUGGUAAACUGGCUGGGAUUUCUGGGAGUUGUAGGCCAAGACACCAGGGGACUCAUAGGUUGAGAACCACUGCUCCAAUAAAUUGGAGCUGCAGUACUCUGCAGUUCUCUCAGUCCAAAUCUUCCAUCCUUUUUCCAGAUGUUAUUGACCCCAUGGAGCGUAAUAAAUAGACAGUCAUUAAAAACAAAGAUAGCCAUGUUGGCCCCAAGAAGAAGACAAACAAAAUGUAUGUGGUGAUAUUAAAGGCAUCCUCUUUC
Anolis carolinensis (green anole) is the source of this 3543-nucleotide long non-coding RNA. RefSeq lists it as uncharacterized. The transcript is spliced from 2 exons. The record is from RefSeq and is a predicted model, not a curated record. Lineage: Eukaryota; Metazoa; Chordata; Lepidosauria; Squamata; Anolidae.